This 575-nucleotide unclassified non-coding RNA is filed under the name Hevea brasiliensis (rubber tree). The record is from RNAcentral. Lineage: Eukaryota; Viridiplantae; Streptophyta; Magnoliopsida; Malpighiales; Euphorbiaceae.
AGGACAUGAGUUUUAUUAUUAUUUAGGAAAUAGGAAUAUUCAUUAGGAAUUGCUUCCUAGUUAUAAAUAAUUUUUAUUCUUCUAUUCAAGAUCACUAAUCCUAAUAGGCCAAUUCAUUGAGCUUUCAUGUAUCCUAUGUAAGCUAGUACUCUAUUACGCCUUUAUUAAUAGAAUUAUAGGUAUUUGAUUAGGUUUUGAAGCACAACAUGCCUAGAGCGAUAUCUCCUCAUUCUUAAAUAUUCAGACCUCCUCCUUUCCUCUAUCUAUCAAAAGCGCUCUUAGCAUUCUUCUCUCUCUACUUUUCCUCUAUUUCUUUGCAUCAAAAGAUCAUAAUCAAUCCAAUCUCAAAAUCCAUAAUUUUAUUAUCAAGUGCCUUAUGCUAAUUUGAAGAGUUUUAUUUGCUGAAUUCAUUAUACUCCAAAAUAAGGACACAUAAUUGGUCUAGUUUGGGUAUUUAAUAAAAUCUAUAAAUAUCGGACACUAAUACCCCUCAAAUGCUUCUUGAUGCAUAACCAAUACUCAAUUCAACUCAACUCGACUAAACUAAACUAAAUUAAGUCUUUAUCCCAAAAAUU